UGGGGAAUAUUGCACAAUGGGCGAAAGCCUGAUGCAGCAACGCCGCGUGAGUGAUGAAGGCCUUCGGGUUGUAAAGCUCUGUCUUUUGGGACGAUAAUGACGGUACCAAAGGAGGAAGCCACGGCUAACUACGUGCCAGCAGCCGCGGUAAUACGUAGGUGGCAAGCGUUGUCCGGAUUUACUGGGCGUAAAGGAUGCGUAGGCGGAUUUUUAAGUGAGAUGUGAAAUACCCGGGCUUAACUUGGGUGCUGCAUUUCAAACUGGGAAUCUAGAGUGCGGGAGAGGAGAAUGGAGUUCCUAGUGUAGCGGUGAAAUGCGUAGAGAUUAGGAAGAACACCAGUGGCGAAGGCGAUUCUCUGGACCGUAACUGACGCUGAGGCAUGAAAGCGUGGGUAGCAAACAGGAUUAGAUACCCUGGUAGUCCACGCCGUAAACGAUGAGUACUAGGUGUAGGAGGUAUCGACCCCUUCUGUGCCGCAGUUAACACAAUAAGUACUCCGCCUGGGAAGUACGAUCGCAAGAUUAAAACUCAAAUGAAUUGACGGGGUCAUAGCUGUUUUCCU
RNAcentral lists this ribosomal RNA (563 nucleotides) under uncultured bacterium. Its description in RNAcentral is "partial 16S ribosomal RNA". It matches the Rfam family "Bacterial small subunit ribosomal RNA", at positions 355 to 1375 of the family's 1533-position model. The record is from RNAcentral.